UACAGAGGUCCCAAGCGUUGUUCGGAUUCACUGGGCGUAAAGGGUGCGUAGGUGGUGGGGUAAGUCGGAUGUGAAAGCUCGGAGCUCAACUCCGAAAUGGCAUUGGAAACUACCCUGCUAGAGGAUUGGAGGGGGGACUGGAAUACUUGGUGUAGCAGUGAAAUGCGUAGAUAUCAGGAGGAACACCAAUUGCGAAGGCAGCUCGCUGGGACGUUACUGACGCUGAGACGCGAAAGCGUGGGGAGCAAACAGG
Molecule: ribosomal RNA, 253 nt
Filed under: uncultured bacterium
Lineage: Bacteria
Description: partial 16S ribosomal RNA
Rfam family: Bacterial small subunit ribosomal RNA
Source: RNAcentral